UACGUAGGGGGGCUAGCGUUGUCCGGAAUCAUUGGGCGUAAAGAGCGUGUAGGCGGCCCGGUAAGUCCGCUGUGAAAGUCGGGGGGCUCAACCCUCGGAUGCCGGUGGAUACUGUCGGGCUCGAGUACGGAAGAGGCGAGUGGAAUUCCUGGUGUAGCGGUGAAAUGCGCAGAUAUCAGGAGGAACACCUAUUGCGAAGGCAGCUCGCUGGGACGUUACUGACGCUGAGACGCGAAAGCGUGGGGGAGCAAACAGG
Molecule: ribosomal RNA, 256 nt
Filed under: uncultured bacterium
Lineage: Bacteria
Description: partial 16S ribosomal RNA
Rfam family: Bacterial small subunit ribosomal RNA
Source: RNAcentral